Molecule: ribosomal RNA, 253 nt
Filed under: uncultured bacterium
Lineage: Bacteria
Description: partial 16S ribosomal RNA
Rfam family: Bacterial small subunit ribosomal RNA
Source: RNAcentral
UACGUAGGUGACUAGCGUUGUCCGGAUUUACUGGGCGUAAAGAGCGCGCAGGCGGUCGUUCAAGUCGAGUGUGAAAGCCCCCGGCUCAACUGGGGAGGGUCACUUGAUACUGAUCGACUCGGAGGCAGGAGAGGGAAGCGGAAUUCCCGGUGUAGUGGUGAAAUUCGUAGAUAUCGGGAGGAACACCAGUGGCGAAGGCGGCGAUCUGGGAAGAUACUGACGCUGAGGUGCGAAAGCGUGGGGAGCAAACAGG